This 315-nucleotide unclassified non-coding RNA is filed under the name Hevea brasiliensis (rubber tree). The record is from RNAcentral. Lineage: Eukaryota; Viridiplantae; Streptophyta; Magnoliopsida; Malpighiales; Euphorbiaceae.
GCAAAACUCAGAUAGUGGAUCAAUUGCAUUUUCUUCGAGGGCUGGAUCAUCUUCUCAACGGACUUCACCUUUCCGUGAGGUUGGUGGAUAUGCUGCCGAACAGCUGUCUAGCAGUAGUAUCUGUAGCAGUCCUGAUGAUAACAGUUGUGACGGGAUUAAGCUUGAGGAGAGUGAAGCAUGGCACUUAAGAUUAGGUUAUUCAACCACUUGGCCUGGAAUGGUGCUUGCAGUCUGCCCUUAUCUUGAUCGUUUUUUCUUGGCCUCUGCGGCUAAUUGUUUCUAUGUUUGUGGUUUUCCAAAUGACAAUGCCCAAAG